GGGAUUAGAUACCCCACUAUGCCUAGCCAUAAACAUAGAUAAUCACGUACUUUUUUAUCCGCCCGGGUACUACGAGCAUCAGCUUAAAACCCAAAGGACUUGGCGGUGCUUUAGAUCCACCUAGAGGAGCCUGUUCUAGAACCGAUAAUCCCCGUUAAACCUCACCUUUCCUUGCCCAAUCCGCCUAUAUACCGCCGUCGCCAGCUUACUCUGUGAAGAGUCUGUAGUAAGCACAAUCGGUACAGCCCAAAACGUCAGGUCGAGGUGUAGCGUAUGGAAAGGGAAGAAAUGGGCUACAUUCAAUAAUAAUAAUGAACACGAAUAAUGUUUUGAAAGAAACAAUUGAAGGAGGAUUUAGUAGUAAGCAGGGAAUAGAGCGCCCUGCUGAAACCGGCCCUGAAGCGCGCAC
RNAcentral lists this ribosomal RNA (409 nucleotides) under Anampses twistii (yellowbreasted wrasse). RNAcentral's name for it is "partial 12S ribosomal RNA". It matches the Rfam family "Bacterial small subunit ribosomal RNA", at positions 774 to 1386 of the family's 1533-position model. The record is from RNAcentral. Lineage: Eukaryota; Metazoa; Chordata; Actinopteri; Labriformes; Labridae.